UCAUAGAUGAAUAAGAGUCUGUCCUUCAGCUCAAGGGGCUCACGCCCACCGGAGCAUUGCCCUUGGGAGCAUUGUCUGGCGGAAAAGCGUCGUUGAACAACGCUCUUCAAGGAUUCUCGCCGAAUCACAAAAUCACAUCCUUUGCGGAGGCUAAGGGCUUGGACUUGCCAAACGAGCGAAUGCGUCCGCGUAAGGAUGCUCCUGCAACCCCGGAAGAGCCAGCCAAGGCUAACAAUAACUACUACUAUAACAACAACAAUACUAUUACCAUUACCGCUACUGCUACUAUUACUACUACUACAACUACUACUAUUUCAACUUCUGUUACCACGAUGAGUGAUCGUUUUUUGUUGUAUGUGGCCGGUUAUUGGUGACCCUGCAGGUUUCCCCCUUCUUUUUCCUCCAUCGCAGCAGGUGCACCAUCUGGCGGAAUGUAUGAGUAUGACUUAAAACUUGAUAUUUGCACCCUAUUGGGCAUAGUUCCUGGAUUUUUCCGCUGUUUUUUCUUGUUUCGGAUCUUGUCAAGUCAAUCGAAGCCGGUAAUUCCUUUCCACCUUUGGAUGUCGCCCUCCCCUACAAACUAAGACUCAUUCACUUCUGUACUUAUUGCAACAAACUGAACUAAACACAUCAGGUAUUACCUUUGAUGACA
Tigriopus californicus is the source of this 652-nucleotide long non-coding RNA. RefSeq lists it as uncharacterized. The transcript has 3 exons. Lineage: Eukaryota; Metazoa; Arthropoda; Copepoda; Harpacticoida; Harpacticidae. The record is from RefSeq and is a predicted model, not a curated record.